Molecule: long non-coding RNA, 614 nt
Organism: Amphiprion ocellaris (clown anemonefish)
Lineage: Eukaryota; Metazoa; Chordata; Actinopteri; Pomacentridae
Source: Ensembl
CCUGCCGUGCGGGGUGGUGCGGAGACGCGGAGUGGUGUGGGCUCUUUUUUUUUUUUUUUUUUUUUUUCUUGCGUAGGGCGAGAUGUUGUUUUGUUGUGACGAUCAGCUGAGUGUGGCAUCGCUGUCCGGUCUGACACCACGAGAAGAAGAAGAAGAAGAAGAAGAGGGGGGAGGAGGAGGAGGAGAAGAAGAAGAAGCGCCUCUCCGGCUCCACACUAAACGUGGGGACGGAGCGCCUCUUUCCAGCGCAUCGCAAUCCAGGAAAUGCGGACUUGUGGCCCUUUCGCUUCGGGAUAAACGGCUGCAGAAGCCGCACCGUGGAGAGCCGGGACCAGUUGAAGAGGGAGCAACAGUGGAGACUGACGCUGCGCACUUCGAGGCUGUAUUAGAUGCCCGAUGGAGCCCGUGAAGUUGUCUGUGACGGGCUACACCUACACUUGGCAGGGACAGAGCCAAAGUUCAUUCCAGGGGUCCCACAGCCGCAAUAACAUCUGGUCACCCCACAAAACACAAAACCAGCACUGAAGCCUGUCAUCCAUCUCUAUUUUCUUAUCUAUCUACACACACACACAAGGCUUAAAUGGACAUUAUGAUUAAAUCAUAAUGAUGCUGAG